CAGCAGCCGCGGGAAUACGUAGGGCGCAAGCGUUAAUCGGAAUUACUGGGCGUAAAGCGUGCGCAGGCGGUUCGUUAAGACAGAUGUGAAAUCCCCGGGCUUAACCUGGGAACUGCAUUUGUGACUGGCGGGCUAGAGUAUGGCAGAGGGGGGUAGAAUUCCACGUGUAGCAGUGAAAUGCGUAGAUAUGCGGAGGAACACCGAUGGCGAAGGCAAUCCCCUGGGCCUGCACUGACGCUCAUGCACGAAAGCGUGGGGAGCAAACAGGAUUAGAUACCCCUGUAGUCCCUGUCUCUUAUAC
This 301-nucleotide ribosomal RNA is filed under the name uncultured bacterium. RNAcentral describes it as "partial 16S ribosomal RNA". It matches the Rfam family "Bacterial small subunit ribosomal RNA", at positions 509 to 807 of the family's 1533-position model. The record is from RNAcentral.